UCUGAGAUUCUAUAGCCCAGUGGUAGGGCAUCUUCUUUGCAUACAGAAGAUCCCAGGUUCAUUCCCUGGCAUUGCAGAC
This is a non-coding RNA of Podarcis lilfordi (Lilford's wall lizard), 79 nucleotides long. The record is from the annotation of a GenBank genome assembly. Lineage: Eukaryota; Metazoa; Chordata; Lepidosauria; Squamata; Lacertidae.